GACGAACGCUGGCGGCGUGCUUAACACAUGCAAGUCGAACGGAAAGGCCCUGCUUUUGUGGGGUGCUCGAGUGGCGAACGGGUGAGUAACACGUGAGUAACCUGCCCUUGACUUUGGGAUAACUUCAGGAAACUGGGGCUAAUACCGGAUAGGAGCUCCUGCUGCAUGGUGGGGGUUGGAAAGUUUCGGCGGUUGGGGAUGGACUCGCGGCUUAUCAGCUUGUUGGUGGGGUAGUGGCUUACCAAGGCUUUGACGGGUAGCCGGCCUGAGAGGGUGACCGGCCAAAUUGGGAAGGAGAGACGGCGCAGACUCCUCCGGGAGGCAGCAGUGGGGAAUAGUGCACAAUGGGCGGAAGCCGGAUGCAGCAACGCCGCGUGCGGGAGGACGGCCGGCGGGUUGUAAACCGCUGUCGCCUGGGACGAAGCGUGAGUGACGGUAAUGGGUAAAGAAGCACCGGCUAACGACGUG
This 468-nucleotide ribosomal RNA is filed under the name uncultured bacterium. RNAcentral describes it as "partial 16S ribosomal RNA". It matches the Rfam family "Bacterial small subunit ribosomal RNA", at positions 28 to 507 of the family's 1533-position model. The record is from RNAcentral.